Eubalaena glacialis (North Atlantic right whale) is the source of this 957-nucleotide RNA transcript. It is a transcript of the gene named potassium channel tetramerization domain containing 14, with no coding region annotated. Lineage: Eukaryota; Metazoa; Chordata; Mammalia; Artiodactyla; Balaenidae. The record is from RefSeq and is a predicted model, not a curated record. The transcript has 4 exons.
CCGCGCACGUGGCGGGCUGUGCGGGACCGGCGAGCGGCAGCCUGGCUGCGUAGCGCCAGCGCCUGCGGGGCCGGGAUGAUGAGCCUGACCUCGGCGCCCGGUUCCCGGCCGUUGCGCCAGGCCGUGACCCCCGCGGGCCGGCGGACGGAAUCUCCUGUAGUGGAGCUGAACGUUGGGGGUGAGUUCUAUACCACCACCUUGGGCACCCUGAGAAAACUCCCAGGCUCAAAGCUGGCAGAGAUGUUCUCCAGCUCCUCCAAGGCCUGCCUGGACGCGGAGGGACGCUUCUUCAUCGAUCGCUGCGGCACCUAUUUUGGACCCAUCCUGGAAUAUCUGCGCAGUGGGCAGCUGCCCACACAGCACAUCCCCGAGGUGUACCGUGAGGCUCAGUUCUACGAAAUCAAGCCUUUAAUCAAACUCUUGGAGGACACGCCACAGAUCUUUGGUGAGCAGGUAGCUCGGAAGCAGUUUUUGCUGCAGGUGCCAGGCUACAGCGAGAACCUAGAGCUUAUGGUGCGCCUGGCGCGUGCUGAGGCCGUGGCGGCGCGCUGCUCUAGUGUUCUGGUGUGCCUGGUACAGAACGAAAAGGAUGAUGCAAACUGCGCGGACGCCCUGCGCUCCCUGGAGGCGGACAAGAGGUCAGUGGUCAAAUUCGGGCCUUGGAAGGCAGCCCUGGAUAUCAGGGACCUCCUGGACUGCAUGAACAUGGACAUUAAGGCCCAAGGGUACCAGGAACUAAGACUCCCCACCCAGGUGGAGGAUGGAAUGAUGAUGUCGACCCUCCUGACUUCAAUCAACUAAAGCCUGGACUCUGUUGACCUCUGCCCCAAUUCUACGAUGAAUUCUCCUCUGCUCAAGCCCCUUCAUGAAUAGGUGAACCAGUUUUCCAGUAACGGCUUGACCAAGAGGAGAGUGCAGGCAACAUACAGAUGGCAAAUAUUGUGAACAGCAAUGGAU